RNAcentral lists this ribosomal RNA (874 nucleotides) under Alternaria malorum. RNAcentral's name for it is "eukaryotic LSU rRNA". It matches the Rfam family "Eukaryotic large subunit ribosomal RNA", at positions 53 to 945 of the family's 3401-position model. Lineage: Eukaryota; Fungi; Ascomycota; Dothideomycetes; Pleosporales; Pleosporaceae. The record is from RNAcentral.
GAGGAAAAGAAACCAACAGGGAUUGCCCUAGUAACGGCGAGUGAAGCGGCAACAGCUCAAAUUUGAAAUCUGGCUCUUUUAGAGUCCGAGUUGUAAUUUGCAGAGGGCGCUUUGGCUUUGGCAGCGGUCCAAGUUCCUUGGAACAGGACGUCACAGAGGGUGAGAAUCCCGUACGUGGUCGCUGGCUAUUGCCGUGUAAAGCCCCUUCGACGAGUCGAGUUGUUUGGGAAUGCAGCUCUAAAUGGGAGGUACAUUUCUUCUAAAGCUAAAUAUUGGCCAGAGACCGAUAGCGCACAAGUAGAGUGAUCGAAAGAUGAAAAGCACUUUGGAAAGAGAGUCAAACAGCACGUGAAAUUGUUGAAAGGGAAGCGCUUGCAGCCAGACUUGCUUGCAGUUGCUCAUCCGGGCUUUUGCCCGGUGCACUCUUCUGCAGGCAGGCCAGCAUCAGUUUGGGCGGUAGGAUAAAGGUCUCUGUCACGUACCUCUCUUCGGGGAGGCCUUAUAGGGGAGACGACAUACUACCAGCCUGGACUGAGGUCCGCGCAUCUGCUAGGAUGCUGGCGUAAUGGCUGUAAGCGGCCCGUCUUGAAACACGGACCAAGGAGUCUAACAUCUAUGCGAGUGUUUGGGUGUCAAGCCCGAGCGCGUAAUGAAAGUGAACGGAGGUAGGAACCCGCAAGGGUGCACUAUCGACCGAUCCUGAUGUCUUCGGAAGGAUUUGAGUAAGAGCAUGGCUGUUGGGACCCGAAAGAUGGUGAACUAUGCUUGAAUAGGGUGAAGCCAGAGGAAACUCUGGUGGAGGCUCGCAGCGGUUCUGACGUGCAAAUCGAUCGUCAAAUUUGGGCAUAGGGGCGAAAGACUAAUCGAACUAUCU